Molecule: long non-coding RNA, 225 nt
Filed under: Vigna radiata
Lineage: Eukaryota; Viridiplantae; Streptophyta; Magnoliopsida; Fabales; Fabaceae
Description: long non-coding RNA (VRAD_LNC014673)
Source: RNAcentral
CCGGGCAGUCCAGACCGAGGAGUUGGCACCAGGCGUGGACGCUAGGCGAAUUUGUGACUAAAGGAAAACCACCAACAACUGUUGAAAUUGUAAACCCCCAAUAACUCCAUUUUUCCAUAGUCUUCUUCAUCAAUUGAAUCAACCACAUUGCAUGUUUAUUUUCUUUCUUUGCAUUCACAACAAUUAUUUUUCUCUACAAGUCUUACGAUUUUGAUUAACACCAAC